CACAGCUUCAAAAACCACUUUAGCGCAAAAUGUUGUCUGGCAGAACGAAGACACCUCACUCUAAGAAAAUAUAUCUGAAACAAACCAUAGCAUAUUUCUCUUUGGAACAAAAUAUUUUCUGAUAUGGGGUACAGGGAGAAGACAAGAUGGAAAAGCUCACAGGUCUGAACAAAGACAGAGAGAUAGCUUACCAGUUGCCAUCAUGGUCAGAACAGACUCAACUGCUGAUUAAAAAUAGAGUGGAAUGGUUCAGCUGUGUGCAUUUUCCACCUGGCUGCAGUGAGACUGAAUGAAAGAUACCAAAUGUUGUUCUCACUGAGAAAAAUUUGCACGAGGGAGUGCUCACACUGAAUUGAGUGAGGC
Molecule: long non-coding RNA, 363 nt
Organism: Pezoporus occidentalis (night parrot)
Lineage: Eukaryota; Metazoa; Chordata; Aves; Psittaciformes; Psittacidae
Exons: 3
Source: RefSeq, a predicted model, not a curated record